This 1949-nucleotide long non-coding RNA is filed under the name Canis lupus familiaris (dog). RNAcentral's name for it is "lncRNA (ENSCAFG00000058157.1)". The record is from RNAcentral. Lineage: Eukaryota; Metazoa; Chordata; Mammalia; Carnivora; Canidae.
GCAGAGACAUAGGCAGAGGGAGAAGAAGCAGGCUCCAUGCACCGGGAGCCCGACGUGGGAUUCGAUCUCGGGUCUCCAGGAUCGCGCCCUGGGCCAAAGGCAGGCGCCAAACCACUGACCACCCGGGGAUCCCCAGAUGCUAUUUUAAUUUGAAGUAUGACGUUUAAUUUUACUUGAAACUGAAGGAAGAGUUGACCUUCAAGUCAUGUUUCUUGACCACAAUUACCACCUUACUUGUUGAAAGGUACCUCUGAGAGUAAACAAAAAUGGUGAAAAGCAUUAAGAUAUUCAGUCAUUUUUUUUAAAUGAUACAUUUGAAUUGUGUGUGUACGCACACGUGCAUGAUCCUUUCCACUUGCCAAUCUCCCUUGCCCUGCCUCCUGACUUUUGUUACUUAUUUAAUAUUGUUACAUUGUCCAGGAUUAUAAGAAACAUAUUCUGUUCUGUAGAAAUAUAAUUGCAGUUACUUGGUAUACAUUGUAGAUUUAAAUGCAUUCCAAGCCUUUUAUCAAGGAUUCUCCAUUGCAAGCUCUUCAUUUCAAUUCAUCUCUUCAUGGACUGAGUUUCAUCGCUAAGCUGUUUUAUCAAGAAGAGUUUUGGAUGUUUAAGAAUGCCUGCCUGUUGCCUGUACACUGGAACCAGAUCUUGGCCAGGCUCAUGGAACCCCUGCCUCCCUGAGUUGGAAGCAUCUCUGCUCUUCCAAGGUGCUUGUGACCAAAGAAGAUUCUCUGGAAAAAAAAAAUAUGUCAAUUGUUCAGUAACCAGAGAGCUAUGGCCUAAGUGAAGGACUUCAAAUGGUCACAUGGUAGAGAGGCCAGGUGAUGUGCAGCUGGCCAGCCAGCCUUUUCCAGCAUGGCUUUCAGCCCUGAAGGCUGAACGGAUGGGACACAAGCAGGUGAGUGGAAGCCCCACCUGGGGACACACUAGAGAGAUGAGAAGUUAAAAUGUUGUGCUUGUUGGGGAAAAUGUGACCUUCAAAGAGAAUGAGGGAGAUUCGAGAGAGGACACAUGCUUCAUGCUGGCCAAGGCAUUUAAGGAAGUAAGCCAUCAGGACAGGAGACAGCUAACUAGGGAGAAGCAAAUCCACAUGCAGAGUGAUGGUUUUCUUUUGUUUCUUUUUUUAAAGAGAUUUUAUUUAUUCAUGAGAGACACACAGAGAGAGGCAGAGACACAGGCAGAGGGAGAAACGGGCUCCCUAGAGCCUAAUGCGGGACUCGAUCCCAGGACCUCAGGAUCAUACCCUGAGCCAAAGGCAGAUGCUCAACCACUGAGCCACUCAAGAGUCCCCAGAGUGAUGGCUUUCAACUCGGGCCCAGAAGAGCCAUGAAGAAGGGUGGAGAGGAGAAUGGGUCCAGUUGGAGGGGCUGUACCCCCUCCCCACAGACAGCUCCAUUCCAUCUGCCAUAUAUGAUGGGCUUUCACUUCAAGGAAGGGUUCCUCUGCAACUAAAAAUAAGCCUGGAAACCACACCUCUGGUGAGAAUCCAUUCAGAGGGACAAACUGGAUCUGGAAAGGGCUGCUGCUGAAAGGAAUCCAGAGGAAUCAGUGAGUCUGAGUCAAGAUAGCUGAGAGGUAAGGUUUUACCUGCAACCAAGGGGUUGGCCAGGGAAAAUAGAGGCAGGAGUUCAAGGAAACUGACAGAAAUUACUCUAAGUUGAAUUCAGAAUAGAAAUAAAAACAAAUUAGCAAUAAAGAACAGACACACACAAGAAUGAGGCCAUCUGACUGAAGAAUGAAAAUAGAACUAAGGAUCUGGUUAAUGUACAAAACCCAAUCUAGGGACACCUGGGUGGCUCAGUGGUUGAGCAUCUCCCUUUGGUUCAGCUCAUGAUCCUGGGGUCUUUGGAUGAGUCUCGCAUCGGGCUCCCCACAGGGAGCCUGCUUCUCCCCCUGCCUCUGUCUCUGCCUCUCAUGAAUAAAUAAAUAAAAUCUAAAAAAAAAAAAAAAAA